AAAAAGACAAACCAUGGGUUUCCGUGUCCAACGUUUGACUGUCCGUCUUCUAUGAAAUUUUUUAUAAUUAGUAUUUUUAUCGUUGUUAGAUGAUAAAACAUGAUUAAUACUUUUUAUGUGACUUGUCUUUUUAAUUUUUUUCAUAAUUUUUUCAAAUAAGACGGACGGUCAAACGUUGGACACGGAAACCCAGGGUUUGUCUUUUU
Molecule: non-coding RNA, 206 nt
Organism: Oryza nivara
Lineage: Eukaryota; Viridiplantae; Streptophyta; Magnoliopsida; Poales; Poaceae
Source: Rfam